GAUGAACGCUAGCGGCAGGCUUAAUACAUGCAAGUCGAGGGGCAACAGGGGUAGCAAUACCUGCUGGCGACCGGCAAACGGGUGCGGAACACGUACAGAACCUUCCUUUAAGCGGGGGAUAGCCCAUAGAAAUGUGGAUUAAUACCCCACUAGUAAUAUUGACUGGCAUCAGUUGGUAUUUAAAGAUUUAUUCACUUAAAGAUGGCUGUGCGGCUGAUUAGGUAGUUGGUGCGGGUAACGGCCCACCAAGCCAGCGAUCAGUAACUGGUGUGAGAGCACGACCAGUCACACGGGCACUGAGACACGGGCCCGACUCCUACGGGAGGCAGCAGUAAGGAAUAUUGGUCAAUGGACGCAAGUCUGAACCAGCCAUGCCGCGUGAAGGAUGAAGGCCCUCUGGGUUGUAAACUUCUUUUAUC
This 419-nucleotide ribosomal RNA is filed under the name uncultured bacterium. RNAcentral's name for it is "bacterial SSU rRNA". It matches the Rfam family "Bacterial small subunit ribosomal RNA", at positions 28 to 440 of the family's 1533-position model. The record is from RNAcentral.